GGUGGGGAAUUUGGCUGCUCCAGUUGAAGAAUGGACCGUUAGUGGGACAGUUUUAACUGCACUAAUGGACGUGGAGAGAAGACAUGGAAAGUUUAAGCCUGCAAUCAAGAAGGCCAUGGUGGAGCUUCAAGGAACACUGUAAAUGGCGAUAAGCGAUGGUGUUGUACUUACCUUCUUGCUCCUUCUGAUCCUUUGUUCGUUGAACUUGGAGCAGCUUUUAUUAAACGACAAAUCGAAGAAUAUGGAGAUGUGACAGAUAUAUACAAUUGGAUGUAUUAUUGUACAACUUUUUUGGAUCAUCUCCUUUGGGAGAACAAUGGAAGGUUAUAUGCAACUACACCAC
This is a long non-coding RNA of Humulus lupulus (European hop), 343 nucleotides long. RefSeq lists it as uncharacterized. NCBI's taxonomy places the organism in Eukaryota, Viridiplantae, Streptophyta, Magnoliopsida, Rosales, Cannabaceae. The record is from RefSeq and is a predicted model, not a curated record. The transcript is spliced from 5 exons.